Non-coding RNA from Pelobates cultripes (western spadefoot toad), 257 nucleotides. The record is from the annotation of a GenBank genome assembly. NCBI's taxonomy places the organism in Eukaryota, Metazoa, Chordata, Amphibia, Anura, Pelobatidae.
AUAAUGUUAUCAUAUCCCCUUGGAGGCGACGUUUUUCUAAACUAUAGAGGUUUAAAUUGGUUAGCCUUUCUUCAUAGCUAAAAUGUUCCAUUCCUUUUUUAAUUAAUUUUGUAGCCCCCCUCUGCACUCUUUCUAGUGCCAUAAUAUCCUUCUUUAGAACAGGUGCCCAAAAUUGCACAGCAUAUUCAAUAUGUGGUCUUACCAGUGAUUUAUAAAGAGGCAAAAUGAUAUUCUCAUCCCAAUAAUUAAUGUGCUUU